GAUGAAGAACGUAGUGAAAUGCGAUAAGUAGUGUGAAUUGCAGAAUUCAGUGAAUCAUCGAAUCUUUGAACGCACAUUGCGCCCCCUGGUAUUCCGGGGGGCAUGCCUGUCCGAGCGUCAUUGCUGCCCUCAAGCACGGCUUGUGUGUUGGGCCUCCGUCCUCCUCCCGGGGGACGGGCCCGAAAGGCAGCGGCGGCACCGCGUCCGGUCCUCGAGCGUAUGGGGCUUCGUCACCCGCUCUUGUAGGCCCGGCCGGCGCUUGCCGACACAUCAAUCUUUUUUCCAGGUUGACCUCGGAUCAGGUAGGGAUACCCGCUGAACUUGAGCAUAUCAAUAAGCGGAGGA
Molecule: unclassified non-coding RNA, 345 nt
Filed under: soil metagenome
Description: partial contains 5.8S ribosomal RNA, internal transcribed spacer 2, and large subunit ribosomal RNA
Rfam family: 5.8S ribosomal RNA (bases 1-120)
Source: RNAcentral